Molecule: ribosomal RNA, 253 nt
Filed under: uncultured bacterium
Lineage: Bacteria
Description: partial 16S ribosomal RNA
Rfam family: Bacterial small subunit ribosomal RNA
Source: RNAcentral
GACGAGGGGGGCGAGCGUUGUUCGGAAUUAUUGGGCGUAAAGGGCGCGUAGGCUGUGCGGUAAGUCACCUGUGAAACCUCUGGGCUUAACUCAGAGCCUGCAGGCGAAACUGCCGUGCUGGAGUGUGGGAGAGGUGCGUGGAAUUCCCGGUGUAGCGGUGAAAUGCGCAGAUAUCAGGAGGAACACCAAUUGCGAAGGCAGCUCGCUGGGACGUUACUGACGCUGAGACGCGAAAGCGUGGGGAGCAAACAGG